GAUCCUGGCUCAGGAUGAACGCUGGCGGCGUGCUUAACACAUUCAAGUCGAACGGAGUCUUUUUGGAAGCUUGCUUCCGGGAAGACUUAGUGGCGGACGGGUGAGUAAUGCAUGAGCAACCUGCCUUCAGGAGGGGGAUAACAUCGGGAAACCGGUGCUAAUACCGCAUAGAGCAUUUUGCAGGCAUCUGAGAGAUGGGAAAGGAGCAAUCCGCCUGGAGAUGGGCUC
Molecule: ribosomal RNA, 228 nt
Filed under: uncultured bacterium
Lineage: Bacteria
Description: partial 16S ribosomal RNA
Rfam family: Bacterial small subunit ribosomal RNA
Source: RNAcentral